RNAcentral lists this microRNA precursor (60 nucleotides) under Microtus ochrogaster (prairie vole). RNAcentral describes it as "miRNA (ENSMOCG00000010656.1)". The record is from RNAcentral. Lineage: Eukaryota; Metazoa; Chordata; Mammalia; Rodentia; Cricetidae.
AGGCGGGGGAACCUGAGGCGCUGGCUGCGUCUGACUCAGCCACUCAGUCGCCCCGCCACA